This 1380-nucleotide ribosomal RNA is filed under the name Flavobacterium sp. enrichment culture clone BF64A_C33. RNAcentral describes it as "16S ribosomal RNA". It matches the Rfam family "Bacterial small subunit ribosomal RNA". Lineage: Bacteria; Pseudomonadati; Bacteroidota; Flavobacteriia; Flavobacteriales; Flavobacteriaceae. The record is from RNAcentral.
AGUCGAGGGGUACAGGGUGCUUGCACCGCUGACGACCGGCGCACGGGUGCGUAACGCGUAUACAAUCUACCUUAUAGAGGGGGAUAGCCCAGAGAAAUUUGGAUUAAUACCCCAUAGUAUUAUGAAAUAGCAUUAUUUUAUAAUUAAACAUUUAUGGCUAUAAGAUGAGUAUGCGUUCUAUUAGUUAGUAGGUAAGGUAACGGCUUACCUAGACUUCGAUAGAUAGGGGUCCUGAGAGGGAGAUCCCCCACACUGGUACUGAGACACGGACCAGACUCCUACGGGAGGCAGCAGUGAGGAAUAUUGGACAAUGGGCGAGAGCCUGAUCCAGCCAUGCCGCGUGCAGGAAGACGGCCCUAUGGGUUGUAAACUGCUUUUACAGAGGAAGAAACACUCCCUUGCGAGGGAGCUUGACGGUACUCUGCGAAUAAGGAUCGGCUAACUCCGUGCCAGCAGCCGCGGUAAUACGGAGGAUCCAAGCGUUAUCCGGAAUCAUUGGGUUUAAAGGGUCCGUAGGCGGGACAAUCAGUCAGCGGUGAAAGUCUGUGGCUCAACCAUAGAAUUGCCAUUGAUACUGUUGUUCUUGAAUACUUAUGAAGUGGUUGGAAUAUGUAGUGUAGCGGUGAAAUGCAUAGAUAUUACAUAGAACACCGAUUGCGAAGGCAGAUCACUAAUAAUUUAUUGACGCUGAUGGACGAAAGCGUAGGUAGCGAACAGGAUUAGAUACCCUGGUAGUCUACGCCGUAAACGAUGGUUACUAGCUGUUCGGGAGCAAUCCUGAGUGGCUAAGCGAAAGUGAUAAGUAACCCACCUGGGGAGUACGUUCGCAAGAAUGAAACUCAAAGGAAUUGACGGGGGCCCGCACAAGCGGUGGAGCAUGUGGUUUAAUUCGAUGAUACGCGAGGAACCUUACCAGGGCUUAAAUGUAGUUUGACCCGAUUUGGAAACAGAUCUUUCGCAAGACAAAUUACAAGGUGCUGCAUGGUUGUCGUCAGCUCGUGCCGUGAGGUGUCAGGUUAAGUCCUAUAACGAGCGCAACCCCUGUUGUUAGUUGCCAUCGAGUAAUGUCGGGAACUCUAACAAGACUGCCAGUGCAAACUGUGAGGAAGGUGGGGAUGACGUCAAAUCAUCACGGCCCUUACGUCCUGGGCCACACACGUGCUACAAUGGUAGGGACAGAGAGCAGCCACUGCGCAAGCAGGAGCGAAUCUAUAAACCCUAUCUCAGUUCGGAUCGGAGUCUGCAACUCGACUCCGUGAGGCUGGAAUCGCUAGUAAUCGCAUAUCAGCCAUGAUGCGGUGAAUACGUUCCCGGGCCUUGUACACACCGCCCGUCAAGCCAUGGAAGCUGGAAGCACCUGAAGUCCGUCACCGCAAGGAG